RNAcentral lists this ribosomal RNA (449 nucleotides) under uncultured bacterium. Its description in RNAcentral is "SSU rRNA". It matches the Rfam family "Bacterial small subunit ribosomal RNA", at positions 26 to 518 of the family's 1533-position model. The record is from RNAcentral.
AGAACGAACGCUGGCGGCAGGCCUCAAACAUGCAAGUCUAGGGGGUGUAGCAAUACAUCACCGGCGGACGGGUGCGUAACGCGUGGGAAUGUACCUAUUGGUUCGGAACAACUGAGGGAAACUUCAGCUAAAUACCGAAUAAGCCCGAAAGGGGAAAGAUUUCUCGCCAAUAGAUCAGCCCGCGUCCGAUUAGCUAGUUGGUGGGGUAAAAGCCUACCAAGGCGACGAUCGGUAGCUGUUCUGAGAGGAAGAUCAGCCACACUGGGACUGAGACACGGCCCAGACUCCUACGGGAGGCAGCAGUUGGGAAUCUUGGACAAUGGGGGAAACCCUGAUCCAGCCAUGCCGCGUGAGUGAUGAAGGCCUUCGGGUUGUAAAACUCUUUCGACGGGGACGAUAAUGACGGUACCCGUAGAAGAAGCUCCGGCUAACUUCGCGCCAGCAGCCGC